AUUUGGACGGAGUUCAAUCAAGGACACCAAAAAUAGCAGCAUAUAAUAAUGGAAAUGUACCAUUUGAAUUACAUAUUCGAAAUAACAGUAUUAUUACUGUACUAGGAAAAUAUAAUCUGACGAAUAUAAUACAAAAAGAUGUGAAGCAAAUAGAAAUUAAUGAUAUAUUAAGUACCUCGGAAUGUGUUAAAUUAGAAGGUUUUAUAAAAAGCAAUUUUGGAAAAAUUUACAAUCAUAAAUUAAAUAAAUAUAUCGGCUGCGGUUCUAUUACGGAUGGUAUUUAUAAAAUUGAAGUACAUAUAUUAAAUUUUGAUGAAAAGAAAUAUGAAGAGAAAAAGAUAAAAAAGGAAAUAAAGUACAACUAAUUGGCACGGUGCAAAAUACAGUCGACCCACCAUAUGUCAUAAUAAAUUCUAAUGAGGAAGUUAAAAAAUUGGAAGGAUGUAUGUCUUUGCCACUUUUAUUAAAAGGUAUACAUACAUCUAAAAAAAGAAAAAUAGAGGAGCAUAUAUAUGAGCA
This is a long non-coding RNA of Odontomachus brunneus, 519 nucleotides long. RefSeq lists it as uncharacterized. Lineage: Eukaryota; Metazoa; Arthropoda; Insecta; Hymenoptera; Formicidae. The transcript is spliced from 3 exons. The record is from RefSeq and is a predicted model, not a curated record.